RNAcentral lists this ribosomal RNA (108 nucleotides) under Castor canadensis (American beaver). The record is from RNAcentral. Lineage: Eukaryota; Metazoa; Chordata; Mammalia; Rodentia; Castoridae.
AACUACGGCCAUACCACCCUGAACAAGCCUGAUCUUGUCUGAUCUCAGAAGCUAAGCAGGGUUGGGCUUGGUUAGUACUUAGAUGGGAGAAAUAACAAGCACUGGUGA